RNAcentral lists this transfer RNA (85 nucleotides) under Candidatus Tetragenococcus pullicola. Its description in RNAcentral is "tRNA-Leu". It matches the Rfam family "tRNA". From Rfam's summary of the family: Transfer RNA (tRNA) molecules are approximately 80 nucleotides in length. Their secondary structure includes four short double-helical elements and three loops (D, anti-codon, and T loops). Lineage: Bacteria; Bacillati; Bacillota; Bacilli; Lactobacillales; Enterococcaceae. The record is from RNAcentral.
GCGGGUGUGUUGGAAUUGGUAGACAAGCAGGAUUCAGAAUCCUGUGAGUGUAACGCUCGUGUGGGUUCGACUCCCAUCAUCCGCA